UACGUAGGGUCCGAGCGUUGUCCGGAAUUAUUGGGGCGUAAAGAGCUCGUAGGCGGUCUGUCGCGUCUGCUGUGAAAACUCGGGGCUUAACCCCGGGCCUGCAGUGGGUACGGGCAGACUAGAGUGCGGUAGGGGAGACUGGAAUUCCUGGUGUAGCGGUGAAAUGCGCAGAUAUCAGGAGGAACACCGGUGGCGAAGGCGGGUCUCUGGGCCGUAACUGACGCUGAGGAGCGAAAGUGUGGGGAGCGAACAGG
RNAcentral lists this ribosomal RNA (254 nucleotides) under uncultured bacterium. RNAcentral describes it as "partial 16S ribosomal RNA". It matches the Rfam family "Bacterial small subunit ribosomal RNA", at positions 524 to 776 of the family's 1533-position model. The record is from RNAcentral.